CCUGAUGACCAUAGCAAGUUGGCACCACUCCUUCCCAUCUCGAACAGGACAGUGAAACGACUUAGCGCCGAUGAUAGUGCGGGUUCCCGUGUGAAAGUAGGUCAUUGUCAGGC
RNAcentral lists this ribosomal RNA (113 nucleotides) under Comamonas sp. Lineage: Bacteria; Pseudomonadati; Pseudomonadota; Betaproteobacteria; Burkholderiales; Comamonadaceae. RNAcentral also lists the same sequence under 1 other name. The record is from RNAcentral.